Molecule: long non-coding RNA, 673 nt
Filed under: Equus caballus (horse)
Lineage: Eukaryota; Metazoa; Chordata; Mammalia; Perissodactyla; Equidae
Description: lncRNA (ENSECAG00000044127.1)
Source: RNAcentral
GUGAACCCUAAUGUAAACUAUGGACUUUGGGUGAUUAUCAUGCAUCAGUAUUAAGAAAAUGUUCCUGCAUAGAAGAGAUGCCAGUAACGUAGAAGGAAUGAAAUGACAAUGCCUGGAAAGCUUUGUGGUGCCGCAGGAUUUGAGAAAGAUUGACUAGGUUUCUUACGGGAUCAGCCACAGAAGACUGAACCUGUGGCUCUCUAUGGUCCUGGACUGUCAGCACUGCCGGAACCACCGUGAUGUUUAAUAGUGUUUCCAGGGGAAACUUCUUUUCCUUGCCAGAGUUGUGAGCUUCUAGUCUACCCAGAAUUAAAUUCUGAUGGCUGUCUCAGGUAGCCACUUACAAAAAGGAGUGUUUGUAAGUAGGUUAUUUAUAAAUAGCAUGCCUCCUAUUUAUGGAUCUUAAAUGCCAAGCAUAUUUGGAAUUCCUUCUGACCUCACCUAGUUUCUCAAUGCCAGCCUCUUACAGAGAUGGAGAGGGGGUUCUGCAUAACCACAAGAAACCCCUCUCCUUUGUAAGUAUAGAUUACCUUUUAAUUGACUUCUCUAACUUUCCACCAGCUGUUUUAGAGUAACAGGCACAAUUUACAUCUGAAAGUUUAUUUUUCCUUAAAAUAUACAUGUGUUUAUCAUAUCUUGAACCGGAACUUCAAAAGGGAAAUUUGGCUCUGUG